RNAcentral lists this ribosomal RNA (450 nucleotides) under uncultured Glomeromycotina. RNAcentral describes it as "SSU rRNA". It matches the Rfam family "Eukaryotic small subunit ribosomal RNA", at positions 569 to 1023 of the family's 1831-position model. The record is from RNAcentral. Lineage: Eukaryota; Fungi; Glomeromycota.
AGCAGCCGCGGUAAUUCCAGCUCCAAUAGCGUAUAUUAAAGUUGUUGCAGUUAAAAAGCUCGUAGUUGAAUUUCGGGGUUAGUAGGUUGGUCAUGCCUCCGGUAUGUACUGAAUCUCACUGAUUCCUCCUUCCUUAUGAACCGUAAUGCCAUUAAUUUGGUGUUGCGGGGAAUUUGGACUGUUACUUUGAAAAAUUAGAGUGUUUAAAGCAGGCUAACGCUUGAAUACAUUAGCAUGGAAUAAUGAAAUAGGACGUUCGAUCUUAUUUUGUUGGUUUCUAGGAUUGACGUAAUGAUUAAUAGGGAUAGUUGGGGGCAUUAGUAUUCAAUUGUCAGAGGUGAAAUUCUUGGAUUUAUUGAAGACUAACUACUGCGAAAGCAUUUGCCAAGGAUGUUUUCAUUAAUCAAGAACGAAAGUUAGGGGAUCGAAGACGAUCAGAUACCGUCGUAG